UAAGGGUCUGUGGAAAUAUAUUUGGUUCCGUCCUGUGAACUGCAGCUUCUGUCUUUCUUUUCCGCUGCUGGGAUCUGAUCUGUGUUUGCAGUGAUGUGAACCCUGUGAUGUUUCGCUGAUACCAUGUGCAUUUCUUUAUGUAGGGUCUGAAGAACCAGUCUGGGAUCAAGCUGAACAUCGUCAGAUGUCCGCCAGUGACCACUGUGCUCAUCAGACGACCAGACCUGCGUUACCAGCUGGGGUUCAGCGUCCAGAACGGCAUUAUCUGCAGCCUUAUGCGUGGGGGCAUCGCUGAGAGGGGCGGGGUCAGAGUGGGACACCGCAUCAUCGAGAUCAACAGCCAGAGCGUGGUGGCCACGCCCCAUGAGAAGAUCGUCCACAUCCUGUCCAACGCUGUGGGAGAGAUCCACAUGAAGACAAUGCCUGCAGCCAUGUACCGCCUGCUGACCGCCCAGGAGCAGCCUGUUUACAUCUAAGAAGACUGAGCUCUGACCUCACACACCUCUAACCCCCCCCCCUCUCCGGCGCUCACCCUGCACCCUUCUGGUCCCAGCUGGUGGACUGUAGUGAGUUGUUAGUGGGAUUGUUCUGUUGCUCUGCCUCAUCUUCAUGUGACAACAUAGAAACCCAGAAUGUCUGUCGUCACUAAAAGAUUAGUUUUCUUACUUUGGCUAAAUGUACAAAGGGUGAAAGAUGAUUACACCUGUUGCUAUUUCUGCGCCUAGUAGUGCCCCGCAAUCCUCAACACAUUUCACACUUUCAAACUUGGGAGCAGUUCCUCAGUGCAUCUCUAAUGUUCAGUUUAGGCAACUUUUAACUAUAUGGUCAUUGUUUAAUCAGAACAAUUAGAACUUCUCACACACUAUAAACCUUAUAUUUAAUGAGCAAUCUGCACAUCUAACCCUGACUGUCCUUUCUGCCAUGCUGCUAUUUCAUGUCUUUAUACACGUAGUUCCUCCACCUAAUUAUUGAUGUGUUUUUUUAUUCAGUUUUCAUGUUUUAGCUACAUUUCAUGGGACCAAGCUGGAGCCUGCUACUGUAACUCAGUGUGAACCAUGCUGACAGAUGAGUGUGAGCACACACUUCCCCUUGGCACAUUCCAUAUGUCCGCUGCUUUGGAAGAGUUGACGCUGCACAUUUCCAACAGAUACGUUUCUGACUCCAUUGUCACGGUCAGUUUUGGCUGAUCAUUUAUUAGGUUUUGUAUCCUCUGUACAGAGCACAAGCUGUAGCUCCGUCAGGUUGGUGAAAUUAAGCCUUUAUAAUUUGGCCUCUAUAGAAAUUUGAUUUAUUCAUUGCUGGUUUGAUAAUGUAGUAAUAGGUAAUGGAGUGUGCUCGGGACUACAUCAUACCAUUGUAUGUGGAUGCACAAAGCACUCAACUGCAUGAUGUACUGUACAUGUGUAUAGUCUGUUUCCUUAACAUUGUACAGGGUUUACUGAUCUCUGUACACAGGACACUGCUCGUAGUGCAUACAAGCCACUUUAAAUGAUCUAGCUAUAGGCGAGUAUGGCACCAACAAACAAAGGCUGGCCCCUAAUUAUAAUUCGGCAGCUCAACAACAGUCAUGGCAUCAUGUCACUGACUUUCGCUUUCUCUUGCUAAAAACAGUCUUAUUCAGUAAAUCAUUCAUCUGGCUUCUACUUGCUUUUUUUUUCUUUUGUUAACUACUGCUUAUGAAACUUGGCUGCAGUUUUCACAUUAAAAGUCUACAUUUUAUGGUUUUGUUCCCUUUAAGCCACCAGUUUUUAGCCAAGGUUUUGAAUGUUAACUGUGGGUUCAGGAGGUGUUUCGUGUAAGUUACAGCAGCUGAAAGUUUCAAUCCCAAAGAUCUCUCUCUGUGUUUGCAGCUGGGUUUUGUAGAUUUCACUUCCCACGAGAUCCUGCAAAUACCCAGUUUGUAAUAUAUGCAUUUUGCAACACAUUUAUCAGGGUUUAGUCUGCAUUGACAGAACAUUAAAAGAGGAGCAGAUAAGAACAUAUUAAGGCUUAUUAACAAAAUAUGAUGAUGAAGUAUAAGACUGAUAACUAAAAAUACAAUCCUCCUUCAGGAAAGGCCUGAUUCAUUUGAGGGAGAGAAUGGCCUCCAACAGUACAAUAGAGAAUGCACAAUGACAAGCAAAAUGCUGCCUUUAUUCAAUUGGAAAUAAGAAACAGUGAAUUGUUUUUGUUAAUACGCUUUCCAUUAAUAUAAUUAUGAAUAAUUUCAGGGAGACAUUUAUCAGCAAAGACAUCCCAUAUACAGCUUUCUAUAUGUAGCACUAUUUAAUCACCCAAUUUGUGUUAUUUCUAUUAUGAGUUUAACUGUGUAACGUGACAUUUUCUUUAAGGGGAAGAAAGAGUGGGAAGGAGGGGGGAGACAUAUUAUCAGGAUUAUUAGCAUAUUUUGAGUUAUGAAUACCUAUAACCCAGCAGAGUACAGAUCCCUGAAGUAUUAACGGCAAAGAGAUGCGUAGUAUUAUGGCAUGCGGCAGUUUCUCUCACGUUCCUGAAUACAGACUUUCUGUUCCUGCACUGCAGACUUUUCACGACUCAUACUCUUAUCCAAAGUGCAAUGUUUUAUUUUGUUAACUUGAAAUAUGAUUAUUUUCAUUACCUUUUUCUUAUUUAAAUGUUCUCUGAUAAUUUGAUACUUUUAUGUUGUAUUCAGGGUUCGAGUUAUGUGGGAGCCAAUGGGAGCUGAGCUCCCAUAAGGAGGUCUGAGCUCCCACGGACGCAGUGAAAUCAUACAUAUGUGGGGGUCACUAAUACAUUAGCAACAACCAUUAUUUUAAUCACAAAUAAUGCAUGUGUCAAUGUAUUGAGUAUUAUUUACGUUAACGAGGUAAAUAGGCUAAAAGAAAAACAUGUUUUCCAAAAGAAUUACGCAUCUCUUGAAUGACAGUAUGCCUGCGCUGCACCGCCAAGGUGCGCAAUAAAUGAUUGCGCAAUCUAUGCCUUUGAGCGUGCUGCGCGAGCCGAGAUGAUGUGUGUGUGCGUAGUUGAACCUAUUCAUAUUUAAGUUUGUAGCAAGUAGAGGGCUGCUGCUGCUGCGUG
This is a long non-coding RNA of Notothenia coriiceps (black rockcod), 3036 nucleotides long. RefSeq lists it as uncharacterized. The transcript has 3 exons. Lineage: Eukaryota; Metazoa; Chordata; Actinopteri; Perciformes; Nototheniidae. The record is from RefSeq and is a predicted model, not a curated record.